UCGAGCUUUCUGUGAAGCCGGCGCGUAAGCGAUCCGGUGGAGAGAUCGGAAGCGAGAAUGUUGACAUGAGUAGCGACAAACAGGGUGAGAGACCCUGUCGCCGAAAGUCCAAGGGUUCCUGCUUAAAGCUAAUCUGAGCAGGGUAAGCCGGCCCCUAAGGCGAGGCCGAAAGGCGUAGUCGAUGGGAACCAGGUUAAUAUUCCUGGGCCAGGAGGAUGUGACGGAUCUCGAAGGUUGUCUGCCCUUAUCGGAUUGGGUGGGCCGCUUAGAGGUUCCUGGAAAUAGCCCUCCACAAGACCGUACCCCAAACCGACACAGGUGGACUGGUAGAGAAUACCAAGGCGCUUGAGAGAACCACAUCAAAGGAACUCGGCAAAAUGCUCCCGUAAGUUCGCGAGAAGGGAGCCCCGUCUGUAGGCAACUAUGGGCGGGGGGCACAAACCAGGGGGUGGCGGCUGUUUACUUAAAACACAGGGCUGUGCGAAGCCGUAAGGCGACGUAUACAGUCUGACGCCUGCCCGGUGCUGGAAGGUUAAGAGGAGGGGUGCAAGCUCUGAAUUGAAGCCCCAGUAAACGGCGGCCGUAACUAUAACGGUCCUAAGGUAGCGAAAUUCCUUGUCGGGUAAGUUCCGACCUGCACGAAUGGCGUAACGAUCUCCCCGCUGUCUCUGAUGUGGACUCAGCGAAAUUGAACUGUGUGUCAAGAUGCACACUUCCCGCGGUUAGACGGAAAGACCCCAUGAACCUUUACUCCAGCUUUGCACUGGCAUCAGGAUUGUGAUGUGCAGGAUAGGUGGUAGGCAUCGAAGCAGAGACGCCAGUUUCUGUGGAGCCUCCCUUGAGAUACCACCCUUCGCACUCUUGAUGUCUAACCGCGGCCCGUUAUCCGGGUCCGGGACCAUGCAUGGUGGGGAGUUUGACUGGGGCGGUCGCCUCCCAAACAGUAACGGAGGCGCGCGAAGGUUGGCUCAGAGCGGUCGGAAAUCGCUCGUUGAGUGCAAUGGCAGAAGCCAGCCUGACUGCAAGACUGACAAGUCGAGCAGAGACGAAAGUCGGCCAUAGUGAUCCGGUGGUCCCAAGUGGGAGGGCCAUCGCUCAACGGAUAAAAGGUACUCUGGGGAUAACAGGCUGAUGAUGCCCAAGAGUCCAUAUCGACGGCAUCGUUUGGCACCUCGAUGUCGGCUCAUCUCAUCCUGGGGCUGGCGCAGGU
This 1210-nucleotide ribosomal RNA is filed under the name metagenome. Its description in RNAcentral is "bacterial LSU rRNA". It matches the Rfam family "Bacterial large subunit ribosomal RNA", at positions 1232 to 2563 of the family's 2925-position model. The record is from RNAcentral.